UCCAGAUCGUCACACCACUUCUUAGUUUAAGUUAUGCUGCUUUGAUUGCUUUACUCUUAAAUAGAAAUAUGAAGAUGUGACUACACAUUGGCUUAACGCGUGUAUAACGCAUUUUUAUAGAAAUAUUCAGGAGACAUUGCAUGUCUAAAUCGACCGGAACGGUAAAGUGGUUCAGUGAAGAGAAAGGCUUUGGCUUUAUCGCUCAGGACAACGGUGGUCCAGACGUAUUCGUUCACUUCCGUGCCAUCACUGGUGACGGCUUCAAAACUCUCGCUGAAGGUCAAGCUGUGACCUUUGACGUUGAGCAGGGUCAGAAAGGCCUUCAAGCUGCCAACGUAGAGAAAGCUUAAGCUUUUCCCGUUAACGGGAAAACAGAAAAAGAGCGCUAGAAGCGCUCUUUUUUUU
Molecule: small RNA, 405 nt
Filed under: Endozoicomonas elysicola
Lineage: Bacteria; Pseudomonadati; Pseudomonadota; Gammaproteobacteria; Oceanospirillales; Endozoicomonadaceae
Description: cspA thermoregulator
Rfam family: cspA thermoregulator
Source: Rfam by way of RNAcentral